RNAcentral lists this long non-coding RNA (340 nucleotides) under Mytilus galloprovincialis (Mediterranean mussel). The record is from RNAcentral. Lineage: Eukaryota; Metazoa; Mollusca; Bivalvia; Mytilida; Mytilidae.
GAGUUACAUGUCACUCUAGCAUGUGACGCAUCACCCUAUGGUUUAGGUGCCGUCAUAUCUCAUCGAUAUCCAAAUGGAUCAGACAGACCGAUAGCUUUCGCCUCUAGAUCGCUAGCACCAGCAGAGAAAAAAUAUUCGCAAAUAGACGAGGAAGCGUUAGGAAUAAUUUGGGGAAUUAAGAAAUUCCAUUCCUACCUGUACGGGCGAAAAUUCAAAUUGAUCACAGACCAUCAGCCAAUAUAUAUUCAACCCUCAGAAAGGAGUAUCAGUGACAUCGUCAGCUCGUUUGCAAAAAUAUUCACUUUUCCUGUCAGGAUAUGAAUAUGAGAUUGAAUUCCGA